Molecule: transfer RNA, 73 nt
Filed under: Dipodomys ordii (Ord's kangaroo rat)
Lineage: Eukaryota; Metazoa; Chordata; Mammalia; Rodentia; Heteromyidae
Rfam family: tRNA
About the family: Transfer RNA (tRNA) molecules are approximately 80 nucleotides in length. Their secondary structure includes four short double-helical elements and three loops (D, anti-codon, and T loops). Further hydrogen bonds mediate the characteristic L-shaped molecular structure. tRNAs have two regions of fundamental functional importance: the anti-codon, which is responsible for specific mRNA codon recognition, and the 3' end, to which the tRNAs corresponding amino acid is attached (by aminoacyl-tRNA synthetases). tRNAs cope with the degeneracy of the genetic code in two manners: having more than one tRNA (with a specific anti-codon) for a particular amino acid; and 'wobble' base-pairing, i.e. permitting non-standard base-pairing at the 3rd anti-codon position.
Source: Rfam by way of RNAcentral
GGAAGUGUGGCUCAAGUGGCAGAGUGCUAGCCUAGAAAGCAUGAGGCCCCGAGUUCAAGCCCCAGUGCUUUCA